This 356-nucleotide unclassified non-coding RNA is filed under the name fungal sp. RNAcentral's name for it is "partial internal transcribed spacer region". The stretch from base 1 to 46 matches the Rfam family "Eukaryotic small subunit ribosomal RNA", at positions 1786 to 1831 of the family's 1831-position model. Lineage: Eukaryota; Fungi. The record is from RNAcentral.
AAGUCGUAACAAGGUUUCCGUAGGUGAACCUGCGGAAGGAUCAUUAAAGAUGGGGUAUUUUACCGUGUGCAGUUGGGAUGGGAUUGGUGGGGGAUUGAUUGGUUUGUGGUAUGGUGGGGGGAUGGUUGGUUUGUGAUUGAUGUGUUAAUUUAUGUUACUUUGUAAUUUUUGUUAACUUGUUUGACAUGAUUUGUAAUUUAUGUUAUUUCGUCUUUCAUUAUAAUUCAAUCUGUCAAUAUCAACCUGUCAAUAUCAAUCUGCCAAUCAGUUCAUUUUUCCUAUCCAUUCCAUAUAAUAACUUUUGUCAAUUAUUUUACAAUAAAUAAUAAUUUGCGGCAAUGGAUCUCUAGGCUCUU